Molecule: non-coding RNA, 543 nt
Organism: Chlorocebus sabaeus (green monkey)
Lineage: Eukaryota; Metazoa; Chordata; Mammalia; Primates; Cercopithecidae
Source: RefSeq, a predicted model, not a curated record
UUCCAGGCCUCACCCACCAGGCUGGAAGAUCUGCCCCUCCCGGGCCUCCGGAUCCUGGCUGGGAGCCAUCUCUGCCUCCUCCCGCUUCCUGGACUCCUGAUCAGAUGAGCAGCCACCAUAGAGUUGGUUUCUGUACUUCAACCUCUCAAUCAAGCCAAAAACACAGCUUCUUGGAGGGACCAGGCCAUCUCUGCAAGAUAUUCCUCAACCGUGACAUCAGCAACCAUCUUAGGCCAUUGGCAGGGAGUGAGCUGACUACUCCCCAGGGUCUCAGGUCCUUUUCCAGGAGUAAAUGACCAUUGUGCACCCAUGGGAAGAGUGCUGCAUCCACGGAGGCCCUGGGCCAACAGUGCUCUGAAAUGGGUUUCAUGAAAGCAUCUGUGACUCAUCCCUGUCCAAGAAUGUUUUCAUUAAGAUUCAGCAAAAGCGAUGUGCCAGGUCAGCAAAUACAACUGCAAAACUGGGACCUGCCAGCCUGGCCAACACAGCAAGACCCCAUCUCUACUAAAAAUUAAAAUUAAAAUUAAUUAGCUGGGUAUGGUG